GCCGGUGUGAUGGAAUUGGCAGACGUACGGGACUCAAAAUCCCGCGGUGGCAACACCGUACCGGUUCGACCCCGGUCACCGGCACCA
RNAcentral lists this transfer RNA (87 nucleotides) under Clostridium sp. RNAcentral's name for it is "tRNA-Leu". It matches the Rfam family "tRNA". From Rfam's summary of the family: Transfer RNA (tRNA) molecules are approximately 80 nucleotides in length. Lineage: Bacteria; Bacillati; Bacillota; Clostridia; Eubacteriales; Clostridiaceae. The record is from RNAcentral. RNAcentral also lists the same sequence under 1 other name.